This is an RNA transcript of Vigna angularis (adzuki bean), 1452 nucleotides long. RefSeq lists it as uncharacterized. The transcript has 9 exons. The record is from RefSeq and is a predicted model, not a curated record. Lineage: Eukaryota; Viridiplantae; Streptophyta; Magnoliopsida; Fabales; Fabaceae.
GGAGUAAUUUCGUUCGGCUAAAACUGGGGCGCGUUUGAUUUGAUGUAGUGAACGAUUGAGAACCCAAAUCCGUAGAAAGUAAGAGAAGCCUUGUCCACACAAAUAGUUUAGCGAAUACUAGGUUGGUGUUCCGACAGAGAAAACUUAGGAACUGUAAACCGGGAAGACAACCUUAAUCUAAAUGAACAGGUGACGGUUUGAUAUGAAUCAUAAUGGUGUACUUGUAUUCGGAAAUGGCGAAACUACGGUGCUUCAGUGGAACACCUCUACUACCUUCACGCAACCAGUUGCGAAGGAAUCACGGCCUUCAAAGGCACUCAAACACUAAGGUGCCCAAAAGCAUGAAGAUUUAUGCAAGUAUGAACAAAGAAAGUGAAAGUGAAACCCCUCAGAUGUUGAAAAUAGUGGUGAGCGGAGUGACAGAGCUCUUGAGGGUUUUUUCUCCUUCUUUCGAUCAAGCAAGCUUUGAGAAACAGAGAGAUGAAUUCCCAAUUUCGACCGUCGAUGAUGUUCUAAGUAUCAUCAAAUCUGAUUACGACAACGCCUAUUUCGUAACAGGGAACUUCACUUCUUCAAUUUAUGCUGAGGACUGUAUGUUUGAAGACCCAACUAUUAAAUUUCGUGGUAGGGAGUUAUACGCACGAAACCUGAAGUUGCUUGUUCCUUUCUUUGACCGUGCAUCUAUUAUACUACAAAAUAUUGAGAAGGAUGUUGAAUCCGACAGAAAAUUUGUGCUGGCAUCUUGGAAACUAAGGACCAACUUGAAGCUUCCUUGGAGGCCACUGAUUUCUAUUGAUGGAAGCACAAUUUAUGAAUUAAAUGAAGAUUACAGAAUUGUUAGACAUGUUGAGAGUUGGAAUGUUUCUGCAGUUGAAGCAGUUCUUCAGAUUUUCUCCUUAAACUCGGGUGGUUGAUAUGUUGAGUUUCAUGAAAUCUUCGCAUUCAUUCAUCAAAUGGCUCUUUUGGACAGAGUCACUUGGUACUCAUGGAGAAGUUUUUCUGAACAAACUCUAAAUUUGUUGCAUUGGUCAUACUUGCCUGUACCUUUAAGAAGUAUGGAGUGAUUCAAAUCAUCAGUUGAUGGAUCAGCUUUAUUAUUUGUACCACAAGACGUGCAUCUGUUGCUAUAAUGGUGGGGUGAGAUUAGUGUUUAGUGCAGAGCAUCUCUAGACCAUAAGUUCAGCGUCAUAGUGCUGUUAGCAGAACAAAUUUUUCUAUGACACUCCAUUAUCCUUUCCCUCCACUCUGACCACUGCAGCACAACCAUGAAGUUCAAAAUCACUUUUUACUGCCUUUAAAGCUUAAAUGAAUUUUCUCUUUACACUGAAGUUUGACCCUCAUUCAUAAUAGCCUAAUAGCCCAUCCCCAAUCUUUAGUAGAUUUAGUAUGAGUACUUGCUCAGUAGACCAAUUUUAGUUGCAUUUGAGAAUUAUGAAGGCUUUGUACUUACUU